GCAAGACAGAUGUGAAAUCCCCGGGCUCAACCUGGGAAUNGCAUUUGUGACUGCACGGCUAGAGUGUGUCAGAGGGGGGUAGAAUUCCACGUGUAGCAGUGAAAUGCGUAGAUAUGUGGAGGAAUACCGAUGGCGAAGGCAGCCCCCUGGGAUAACACUGACGCUCAUGCACGAAAGCGUGGGGAGCAAACAGGAUUAGAUACCCUGGUAGUCCACGCCCUAAACGAUGUCUACUAGUUGUCGGGUCUUAAUUGACUUGGUAACGCAGCUAACGCGUGAAGUAGACCGCCUGGGGAGUACGGUCGCAAGAUUAAAACUC
Molecule: ribosomal RNA, 319 nt
Filed under: Herbaspirillum sp.
Lineage: Bacteria; Pseudomonadati; Pseudomonadota; Betaproteobacteria; Burkholderiales; Oxalobacteraceae
Description: bacterial SSU rRNA
Rfam family: Bacterial small subunit ribosomal RNA
Source: RNAcentral